UAGAAGUGAAAUUAUAACUCUUUCUCCUAUUUUUGUGAUAGCAUGAGUUUCACUCCUCACUCCACUAGUCCCUAUUAGUUAGGAAAGUAGUUAUUAUAUGAGUAUUAGGUUCUCUCAUUUAAUCAUUCAUAAUUCACGCUCUUAGAAAAACAAAAGAAAAGAUUUAGAGAGAAAACACAAAGAGAGUUAUUAGAAAGAAAAAGGUGAAUCAAGAAAAAGAUUAAAUAGUAGGAGUCUACACUUAAGCCAACACCACAAGUGUAUACUUAGCGAAGCAAAGACCACUGUGUGAAUUAAGAGUUGUCGCUAUUAAGGUUACUAAAUCAGUAGAUCGGAGUUGCGCAGCAGAAACGUGGUGACAUGUAGUUGAGGCUCCGAAAUUCGUGGACAUCGGUGCUAGUCUUGUCGAGAGAGAUUCUCACAAGCAUCCGGAGUUAUGACCAGCUAUAGAUUGAGUGUUUGGGUAGUAAAAGGCCAAUAGUCUUGGUUUAGAAAUUUA
Long non-coding RNA from Trifolium pratense (red clover), 499 nucleotides. RefSeq lists it as uncharacterized. The record is from RefSeq and is a predicted model, not a curated record. Lineage: Eukaryota; Viridiplantae; Streptophyta; Magnoliopsida; Fabales; Fabaceae. The transcript has 3 exons.